AUAUCACUACCCAGUUCCGCAUCAUUUCCUAAAAUGAUGAUCUCAUUAUUAACUAUUCUCGCAAAACCGCUCCACAUAACCGUUAACCAUUGGCCGUUGAGGAGGCAUAUUCUCAAAGGAACCAUAUCUACUGCUGUGUUAAUGGGGGCGUGGCUUGGUAAUACGCCAAUUUGGACACUAUUAGUGGAUAAAAUGAUUUCUUUCACUUCACAAUCCCAAAAAAUUCGCUUACGAGUCAAUACAUAA
RNAcentral lists this ribosomal RNA (246 nucleotides) under Triticum aestivum (bread wheat). RNAcentral's name for it is "partial small subunit ribosomal RNA". Lineage: Eukaryota; Viridiplantae; Streptophyta; Magnoliopsida; Poales; Poaceae. The record is from RNAcentral.